Molecule: unclassified non-coding RNA, 3605 nt
Filed under: Hevea brasiliensis (rubber tree)
Lineage: Eukaryota; Viridiplantae; Streptophyta; Magnoliopsida; Malpighiales; Euphorbiaceae
Source: RNAcentral
CAACUAUCAAAGAGAAUCAUAUUAAAACAGCCAUUUGGAGAAAAGGCCUCUCUCUCUCUCUCUCCCUUAUAAAUGUUCGCCAAUAAAUGCAAAAAUCUCAUCUCCUCUCUUCUUAGAUUUUAUCUAUUCUCUCUACUUUCUAUCCUUCUAAUUUUCCUUCCCCAAUAUCUAUUCAAAAUCAAACAUCAAAAUCUCAUUUAAUAUUUUUAUUUAAUCAAACCCUAAUUCCCUCUGGAUUUGUAACAAUGGCGCCGCCUAUCAAAUCCAGCAAAGUAGGUUCUAAGGAAUUGGACGAGCUCCAGACUCCCUCCAGUAAUCUUUGGGCAGGGAAUUUGGCCGCUGGCGUGUCGCAUUCGGAUCUUAUGGAUCUAUUCGCUAAGUACGGUGCUCUUGAUAGCUUCACGACUUAUACGUCUAGGAGCUAUGCGUUCUUGUACUUCAAGCGCGUGGAGGACGCUGCAGCAGCUAAGGAGGCGCUUCAAGGGACGGUGUUGCGUGGGAGCCCUUUGAAGAUCGAGUUUGCGAGACCGGCCAAACCUUGUAAGCAUCUAUGGGUGGGUGGUUUCAGCCCAGCAGUUUCUAAGGAACAGUUGGAACAAGUGUUUCUUAAGUUUGGUCAAAUUGAGGAAUUUAAGUUUCAUAGAGACCGGAAUACUGUUUUUAUCGAGUAUGUCAAACUGGAAGAUGCUUCAGAAGCCAUGAGAAACAUGAAUGGAAAGCGAAUUGGUGGUGACCAGAUACGUGUGGAAUUCCUUCGUUUACAAUCCUUAAGAAGAGAACAUUUUUAUGAAUUUCGUGAUUCAAAAGAGAGUCAGUUUUCAGUUGCACAUUCUGGAGUAAAACAAGCUCAGCAUUCUCAGCUUUCAGGGGGCCAAAGGGAAGGCCUGCCCACUAAUGUACUGUGGGUAGGCUAUCCUCCAUCUGUGCAGAUUGAUGAACAAAUGCUCCACAAUGCGAUGAUUCUUUUUGGCGAGAUUGAGAGAAUUAAGAGCUUUCCAUCAAGGCACUAUUCCUUUGUACAGUUCAGAAGUGUAGAUGAAGCUCGGCGUGCUAAAGAAGGCUUGCAGGGGCGGCUUUUUAAUGAUCCUCGCAUCACAAUUACAUAUUCAAGCAGUGAGCUGGCUCCUGGUAAAGAGUACUCCACUCUUAGUCCUGGGGUUAAAGGAACAAGGCCAGAGAUUUUUAAUGAACAUCUUUUGGGGUCUAGCCAGCUGGAAAUAUUGGAUCAUCAUCGACCUAUGGGGCUACAUACUUUUCCUGGACAAUUGCCACCUAGUAAUAUUCAUAGACCAAACCCACCAUUGUGUCCUUUUGAUCCUCAAGUUGGUUUUGACCCUUUGCUUUCUAAUGCAGAAUAUAAUGAUUUGGCUCCUCUACUUGUUUUCCGAGAUGGGAAUUCUAACAUUCCAAUGGGACCUAACUGGAGAAGGCUAUCUCCUCCUGCAUCUGGGAUCCUUCCUUCUCCAGGUUCAAGGAUUAGGCCACUAAUGAGAUCAGUGUCUACUGGAUGGGAUGUGCUUGACCCUAGUCAGAGGGAACCAAAACGAUCAAGGAUUGAUCCACCAGUGCCCAUAGACGAUGAUUCUUUUGCCUCAAGGAAGAUUGAUGAUCGUGGGCUGGGUUUGGACAAAACAUAUAGGCUUGGGCCAGCUACUGAUGGAGGUAUCUCAGGUCCAUUCGUAAAUGUUCAAGGCAAGCGUAGUCUUAGUCCAGUUGGUGUAAGGGGCAUUGUAGUAUCUCAUCAACGUCAUCCUGGCGAUGAUUAUAUAUGGCGUGGUAUUAUUGCUAAAGGUGGAACACCAGUUUGCCAUGCUCGUUGUGUUCCUAUAGAUAAAGGGAUAGAAUCAGAACUUCCUGAAGUUGUUAAUUGCUCGGCCAGAACGGGAUUGGAUAUGCUCACGAAACACUAUGCUGAGGCCAUUGGAUUUGACAUUGUCUUCUUCUUGCCAGACAGUGAAGAUGAUUUUGCUUCCUAUACUGAGUUUCUUCGCUAUUUGGGUUCAAAAAACCGUGCUGGUGUUGCCAAGUUUGAUGAUGGGACAACCCUAUUUUUGGUCCCUCCAUCAGAUUUCUUAACCAAGGUGUUGAAGGUUGCAGGACCUGAACGUCUUUAUGGUGUAGUUCUCAAGUUGCCACAACAUGUCCCUAAUAGUGCAUUAAUACAGCCACAGCUACGACAGCCCAACCAUUUUCCUCAGUAUAUUGAUAGACGUCACAUUCCUCCACCAGAGGCUGAGUAUAAUCAAAUUCCUCGAGAGGAACAUAUGAUGCUAUUGGAUUAUAACAGGGUUUUGCACGAGGACUCAAAGCCUCUGUCGAAAACAUUUUAUACACCAGCAACUAAGUCCAUUGCAGAGCAGUCUAUCCCUCAAGAUUAUACUUCUGGUAACUCUGUAGCAGCUUCUCUAGCAGGAGUGUCGUUGACACCUGAGCUUAUUGCCACUCUUGCAUCUCUAUUGCCUGGAAAUGCAGAGUCAACUGGUUUAGAAGGUGGUCAACCAGUAUCAGGCUCUGUUGUUAGGCCUCUAUUUUCCUCAGUUGCUACUGAUCAAGGAACUUCCUCACUUGGUUGGAAGAAUGAUAAUCAGGUUUCUGGAAACACAGAUCAUAUAAAAUUUGGGAACCAAUUCAAUUCUCAGGCACAAGUUCAUUCUCAGUUUCAGCCUUAUCCAUCUGUACCCAAUGGACCUUAUAAUCCAGCAAAUAUGGUCCCUGCCAACACCCAAAUCAAAGAUUCUUCCGUCAACCUACCACAUCAGGGUGGAAUUCCAUCUAGGCCUUUGACUAGUGUUUCCAUGCCUUCCCAAAGUGGACAAGUUGGUUUGUCACCACAAGUCAACCAGCAGUAUAUGCUUGAUGUUCCUCAGCAGAAGGGAUAUGGUGGAAUGGUGCAUGGAAUAGACGUUUCUGGUCCAUAUAGUCCAUCAGUUAUUCAGCAACCUAAUAAUAAUGCUGCCUUCUCUAGUCAGGCUCAGGGCGGUAAUCAUUCCCAGUUACAAUCUGGGAUGCCUAUAUCUGCUGACAAAGUGAAUCAGCAGAAUCCCAAUCAGGUGCAGCAAUUCCAAACUGCUCUUCCUGGAGCUGGUCAGGACACAUCAGAGGAUGAGGUUGACAGGAAUGAGCGAUACCAAUCGACAUUACAGUUUGCAGCAAGCCUCCUCCUCCAUGUACAGCAGCAACAUCAGCCGCAAACAGGUAAUCCAGCAGUGCAUGGGUCUGGAAAUCAACAAUGAUAUUCCUUUAAUAAAGGUAGAGAGGUACAUACAAUUGGCUGUUGGCUUUUAUCUGCCCAUGGAGAAAGUUUGCGAUUUCUUCAAUUGAAACGCGUUCGUUUGCGUUUGCGUUUCAGCGCGGUAGAAAUUAAAUGUACUGUACAAAACUAUGGAUAACAGUUUCUUUUGGUCUUCAACUUCUUUUUGAGCAAUCCAUUUCUUUCAUUUCAUUUAUGUUUGCCAUUUCCCAUGCGUUUAGCUAUCGAUCACUACUGACAUCCAAAUUUCAUCUGACUUCCAAUAACUUCACUGGAAGACAUUGAUUGGUAGCAUUGGUAAAUUGAAGGGAUUGAUAAUUGGGUUAUACCAAAAAUUAAAAACCCUUAAUUCUUG